GUGAGGAAUAUUGCGCAAUGGACGAAAGUCUGACGCAGCAACGCCGCGUGCGGGAUGAAGGCCUUUCAGGUCGUAAACCGCUGUAGCAGGGGACAAAUUUCCCGUUCGACGGGAUUGAUGGUACCCUGAAAGUAAGCCUCGGCUAACUACGUGCCAGCAGCCGCGGUAAUACGUAGGAGGCAAGCGUUGUCCGGAUUUACUGGGUGUAAAGGGUCCGCAGGCGGGUGUGUAAGUCGGUGGUGAAAUCCUACAGCUUAACUGUAGAACUGCCUCCGAGACUGCAUAUCUUGAAUAUAGGAGAGGGUAACGGAAUUCCAGGUGUAGCGGUGAAAUGCUUAGAUAUCUGGAAGAACACCGGUUGCGAAGGCUGUUACCUGGCCUACUAUUGACGCUCAGGGACGAAAGCGUGGGGAUCAAACAGGAUUAGAAACCCUAGUAGUCC
This 442-nucleotide ribosomal RNA is filed under the name uncultured bacterium. Its description in RNAcentral is "bacterial SSU rRNA". It matches the Rfam family "Bacterial small subunit ribosomal RNA", at positions 354 to 796 of the family's 1533-position model. The record is from RNAcentral.